RNAcentral lists this transfer RNA (77 nucleotides) under Culex quinquefasciatus (southern house mosquito). Its description in RNAcentral is "tRNA-Ser". Lineage: Eukaryota; Metazoa; Arthropoda; Insecta; Diptera; Culicidae. The record is from RNAcentral.
GUCUGCCUGAGUGGAUCAAUCGCCGCGGUCCUGGACUCACAAUCUAGAGGUAGCCGGUUCGAAUCCCGAGGCAGACG